This 397-nucleotide ribosomal RNA is filed under the name uncultured bacterium. Its description in RNAcentral is "partial 16S ribosomal RNA". It matches the Rfam family "Bacterial small subunit ribosomal RNA", at positions 523 to 918 of the family's 1533-position model. The record is from RNAcentral.
AUACGUAGGGGGCGAGCGUUGUCCGGAAUGAUUGGGCGUAAAGGGCGCGUAGGCGGCGCGGUAAGUCUGGAGUGAAAGUCCUGCUUUCAAGGUGGGAAUUGCUUUGGAUACUGCCGCGCUUGAGUGCAGGAGAGGUUAUCGGAAUUCCCGGUGUAGCGGUGAAAUGCGUAGAGAUCGGGAGGAACACCAGUGGCGAAGGCGGGUAACUGGACUGCAACUGACGCUGAGGCGCGAAAGUGUGGGGAGCAAACAGGAUUAGAUACCCUGGUAGUCCACACUGUAAACGAUGAAUGCUAGGUGUAAGAGGUAUCGACCCCUUUUGUGUCGGAGUCAACACAAUAAGCAUUCCGCCUGGGGAGUACGGCCGCAAGGUUGAAACUCAAAUGAAUUGGCGGGG